UCUUUCUCUUACUCUACCCAAAAAUCUUCUUAACACUCUUCUAAAGUUCUAAACCUUGAAGAUCUAGGCGAAGUUCUGUCCGUAACGGUAGCCUACGAAAACCUUUUAGGAAGCUAACAAUUUCGGUUGUUUUAUCAAGACGCAAGGUAAGAGACCCAAAAUAUAAAUUGUUGAUGAGUAUACGUGGAGCCAACAUGACUGUACAUAUGGGGUUGACCUGAAAGGAGUGGAGUUCUGCUAUGCUAUUUUAUAAAUAAACGAGAAACUUGAUUUUAUAAUUAUAUUUCAUUAAAAGUAUUUUGUGAACUUUAUAAUUUACUUAAAGCUUUAAAAGUAUUUCAUGAACGUUGUAAUUUACAUAAAACUUUUUAAUUUAUCGGUUGGAUACAUCUUCAUUUCUACGUUAAGGUGUAGUAAUGCCACGAAAAUGAUUUAUAAAAGUAUUAAGAAUUGUAUGUAAGAUAAAAAUUUUAUUUAGUUGUGAGUAUUGUAUGAUUUGAGGUUAUGAACACUAGUUAUGUAUUGUUAAAUAAAGUUUUUGUAAAUUCAGAAUUUCAGUAUUGUUAUAUUCAGGUUAAACUUUAUUUUUACACUAUAUAUAUGUAUGUUAAGAAAGGAGGUCGUUAUAAAAGUCUAGGAGGUGUUUGUUAAAAAAAAAUCAAACUGCAAGUCCUAAAAAAGUCAAUGAGUUGUUUUUAGGACUCGCAUCUAGGUGGGUGUCCUAAAAAAGUGUCAUAAAAUGGUAUUUUUGUAGUAGUGUGCACUACGUUAGGAUUUAAUAAUUAUAUCUUACACAUUAUAUUUUUGAAAUUAUUGACAAUUUUGAAUACUACUUCUCAUCGUGCUUGAAAGAACAUCAGAACAAAGUUGAUACUUGGACCGUGUAUUGGUCAAUUUUUUUUUUUUGCAAAGCUCUGCCAUUUGCUUUUUUAUUUUUAUUUUUUUUACUGAUGUACACGUGUUUUUAGUUUUUUUUUUGGCAGUACAUGUGUUUUUAGUUAUAAUUGAAAUUGACAUUGGGAAAUUUAUUUAGAUAGGGUACGAAAGGAAUAGUUACAAUGACCAUAAAAACAUUUAAUAGUUCUAAAAAAACAGAGCGGUGUUUUUAAAUGUAAAAAAUGGCUAAAAUCCCAAAUAGUUGCCAUUAUGACUUCUCUUUUGGUCAUUAAAAGUAAAAUGAUGGAACUUUCUUUAAAUCCAACAAAUAUUUUCCAUUUGACUUCUCUUUUGGUCAUUAAAAUCACCCGAUGACCCGAACAGAUAUUAUACCUUAAAAUUCCAUUUAGGAAGAUGAUUUUGUUCAGCCUUAGACACUAAGCUAUUGCCUGACAAUUAGAUUCACAAGUUGCUUUAGUAUUUUUUUCCCUUUGGUUAUCUACGAUCGAAAUUCAUAUAUAAUGUAAAAUGUUAAAAUGACAUUUUUUACAUUACUUAAUCAAUAUUAUUUAAGUCUCACAAAGUAAAUAGUAAAUUUAUUAAAGAUUUUUAAGGCAUUAAAAUAUCUUUGAUUAUUUCUUAAUUUGUGUGAUUUGAAAUGUCUUUUUACACCACCUCAUAAAGAAACAAUAUCUGACAUAGUUCUUCAUUAUUCUCAUUGUUGUCUACUUAAUUCAGAUAAAAUCUUUUGUGAUUUUCGAAACAAAGUUUGGUGGUUAUUUUCUUGUUUCAAGUCUGCCCAGGUACAAGUUGAUCUGUCUAAUUAUCUAGCUAGCCAAGUAAUCUGGAAUUCCAACAGACUUUUCAUUCAAGAUAUUCUCUUCUUUAAUUUUGUGGGCUGCGAAAUGUAGACUUCUUCAUGUUACAAAUAGAAACUUUUGAAGCCAGGAAAAGUUGAUUUCUUCACAUACAAUGAAUGUAAUUUGUAUUUGAAGAAGGAAGUUUGUAUGUUGUGAAAUUAAGAAUGGAUAUACUUAGUCUUGUCUUUAAGUGCGUGUUGCACUGUUUGUUGAUACCCUUUAGUCUUUAGGAUUGAAUGUAUUUUUUUAUUGUGAUUACUUCUACAGUUUUAAGGAGAAGAGCUCAUCAAAAGCUUUAUUCAGAGGAAGAAAAGAAAGUAUCAAUGUCUUUGAGAGAAGAGUCAAUCAAGUCUUUCUUCAAGAGGAAGAAGGCAAUCAGUCAUCAUCGAAAGGAGUUCGAGUGAAGAGCUGAUGAUUCUUGCAGAAAUAAGAUUGACAUUGAAAUACAAAAGAGUGCGACAACGAUAUAGGAGUCUAAUCUCAUAUAAGUCAUUGUUUUUGUAUUUGUGAUAUUUACUAAUAAUAAGUUUUCUUCUAUAAAGGUGGCUCCAUGGAUUAGGACAACCGAACUAUGUAAAAGACUGUUGUGUUGUUGUUGUUUUUUUUUAU
This is a long non-coding RNA of Humulus lupulus (European hop), 2345 nucleotides long. RefSeq lists it as uncharacterized. The transcript is spliced from 3 exons. The record is from RefSeq and is a predicted model, not a curated record. Lineage: Eukaryota; Viridiplantae; Streptophyta; Magnoliopsida; Rosales; Cannabaceae.